AUCAACUUUCGAUGGUAGGAUAGAGGCCUACCAUGGUGGUGACGGGUGACGGAGAAUUAGGGUUCGAUUCCGGAGAGGGAGCCUGAGAAACGGCUACCACAUCCAAGGAAGGCAGCAGGCGCGCAAGUUACCCAAUCCUGACACGGGGAGGUAGUGACAAUAAAUAACAAUACCGGGCUCUUUGAGUCUGGUAAUUGGAAUGAGUACAAUCUAAACCCCUUAACGAGUACCCAUUGGAGGGCAAGUCUGGUGCCAGCAGCCGCGGUAAUUCCAGCUCCAAUAGCGUAUAUUAAAGUUGUUGCAGUUAAAAAGCUCGUAGUUGAAUUUCGGGAUCAAGGAAUCGGUCAUGCCUCGGUAUGUACUGGUUUUAUUGGUUCUCACCUUCUAAAGAACCAUAAUGUCAUUCAUUUGAUGUUAUGGGGGAUUAGGACUGUUACCUUGAAAAAAUUAGAGUGUUUAAAGCAGGCUUACGCUUGAAUACAUUAGCAUGGAGUAAUGAAAUAGGACAUCAGAUUCUAUUUUGUUGGUUUCUAGGAUCGAUGUAAUGAUUAAUAGGGAUAGUUGGGGGCAUUAGUAUUCAAUUGUCAGAGGUGAAAUUCUUGGAUUUAUUGAAGACUAACUACUGCGAAAGCAUUUGCCAAGGAUGUUUUCAUUAAUCAAGAACGAAAGUUAGGGGAUCGAAGACGAUCAGAUACCGUCGUAGUCUUAACCAUAAACUAUGCCGACUAGGGAUCGGAUGAUGUUAAUUUUAUAAUGACUCAUUCGGCACCUUACGGGAAACCAAAGUGUUUGGGUUC
This 797-nucleotide ribosomal RNA is filed under the name uncultured Glomus. RNAcentral describes it as "SSU rRNA". It matches the Rfam family "Eukaryotic small subunit ribosomal RNA", at positions 314 to 1114 of the family's 1831-position model. Lineage: Eukaryota; Fungi; Glomeromycota; Glomeromycetes; Glomerales; Glomeraceae. The record is from RNAcentral.